UACGUAGGGUCCGAGCGUUGUCCGGAAUUACUGGGCGUAAAGCGCGCGCAGGCGGCUUCCCAAGCGCCACGUGAAAUCCCCGGGCUCAACCUGGGAAUGGCAUUGGAUACUGGCAGGCUAGAGUGCGGUAGAGGGUGGUGGAAUUCCCGGUGUAGCAGUGAAAUGCGUAGAGAUCGGGAGGAACAUCUGUGGCGAAGGCGGCCACCUGGACCAGCACUGACACUGAGGCACGAAAGCGUGGGGAGCAAACAGG
RNAcentral lists this ribosomal RNA (253 nucleotides) under uncultured bacterium. Its description in RNAcentral is "partial 16S ribosomal RNA". It matches the Rfam family "Bacterial small subunit ribosomal RNA", at positions 524 to 776 of the family's 1533-position model. The record is from RNAcentral.